Brassica napus (rape) is the source of this 2053-nucleotide long non-coding RNA. RefSeq lists it as uncharacterized. Lineage: Eukaryota; Viridiplantae; Streptophyta; Magnoliopsida; Brassicales; Brassicaceae. The transcript is spliced from 2 exons. The record is from RefSeq and is a predicted model, not a curated record.
UUUUGUUAUUGUGAUUGUCAUAUUUGGUAAGGUAUGACUAAUCUACAGUUUCAAAUUAUUUACUUGAAUUGUUAUUACUAUUUUAAAUUUAAUAGUAUAAAAAUGGUAGUUUAAAAUUUAAUGGUAUAAAAAAAUUUGAGAUUAAAUAAAAGCAUUUAUAGAUACUAUCAUUUUUCUACUAAUUUAUUUCAGUUUCAGUCUAUUUAACUUAUUUAUUUUCGAGUAAUUUUGAAUCAAAUAUUUCAUAUAAAAUUUAUUAUUUUUAUUUUUACUAUUUCAAAAGGUAGAAUUUUUUUUUUUAUGAUUGUUCCUACAUAACUGCUGCGUUUUUUUAAUUUUUAUAAGUUAUAAAAUUUAAAUAUUUUCAAAGUUUAAAAGAUGUCACUAUUAAAAAUACUAUUUUUUGAAACAAUACUCAUUUACAACAUUUUUAGAAUUCCUUACAAAUGCAACUAUCAAAUAGGAAAAAUCCUUAGAUAUAUGUAGAUACACCAGUGUGACUGAUAUGCCCAAAGAUAAUAAGUAUAUCUAAUAAAAUUGGUAAUUUAGUUUUUAAGUCUCCACCAAUACCCACCGCAUGACUUCUCGUCUUAUCAAGUUAAAAAAAUUAUUGGAAACGAUGAAGUGCAACUAAAUAAGUUAUUUCUACUUGAUACAUCAUUUGACUCUUGGAAAAAAAGUUAAGUGAUUGUAUGAUGGAAAUAAUGAGAAAUCGAAAAUACACACCACGAAGAUCAAAAGAAUACUGUUGGUGGUGGUGAUUUUCAAAAAUAUUUUUCACAAAAUUUAGAAUUAAAGUAAUCAGUUGAUGAAUUGAAAGGUUACUGAAAAAUUAGUUAGUUUCUAGAAGUCCCAAAUAAGUUUAAAAAUAUGUGAAAUUGCAUCCUAUAUACACAAUUUUUUUCUCUAAUUAAGUUAAUACCAUAAAUCUCACACUAUGCUACUUUUGUUGAUAGACACAAACCUAACUUCUUCGUGGUUUUUUAGCUAAUUGACUCUAAAAAUAUUUGGAAAUCAGUUGUAUAUAUAUAAUUGAUGAAGAUGUCAAUUGAAUGAAGCGUUACAUUUGUCUGCGGAAGAGAUGCGGCCGCUAACUCAUGAUCUGAAUGGGUGCUUUGUAGCAUUAAAAAAGAUAUCAUUCAUCACUUCAAGAUAUCCACCCAAAAAGGUAGCACAUUUGUUUGUAGGUAUAGUAAAAAAAUGAGUAAUUGUACUCUCUAUACAAAAAUAACAUCAAUAUUUGCAUGAAUGGAAAGUCAAAUUUUUGGCUGAGCUGUUUUUUCAAAAUAACAAUUUUACCCUUAUAUUAGCUUUUUAACAUUACAUAACAUCCAAUACACGUCUGAUAAAACUUGCAUGAGAGAGUGAAUUCUCUUUCUCUUUUUUUCUUGAGUAUACUCCUCGGUAAUAUCGAUCUCAUUCCUCUUUCCUCUUCAUUCAACCCUCUGCAACUUUUUAUUCAAAAAAAAUAAUUUUUCAUCUUAGGAGAAUCUCAUGAAAUUUUGUUCAUUGUUUACCUAAACGAGAUUUAUUAGCCUAAUCACUUAGUUUUCUCGCAAUCUCCGUAGCGCCAUAUUACGGAGGAUACGGUUUAGGUUAGGUUCUGAAGGUCGCUCCUGCUCUUCAUAUGGUUUCUAGGGCUUCGAUUGGAGAUGGCGUUAUCGUCAAAGCAGGAGAGUAGGCUUCGGCGCUGAAGAAGCAUGGUUCUCUUCAGAGACGAGCUGUCGUUAUUGUUGGGAUUGCAGAGGAUUACACUCGAAUGUUUAAAGAUUGUGUCAAUGAGGUAGCUCUCAAUAGCAAUUGCAUCGACUAGUAUUAUUGUGAAGAGGGUGAUAUGAAGAAUUUGUUUUGUUUCGUUGUGUACGAUACAAGAAUCUUGUUAUGAUUAGCCGGUUACAAAACAAUUCAAGUUACAAUUUUUGUAAAACAUAAGUAGCUUGUUAUGAAUUAUUCUAAACCAACUAACAAUACAUAUAACCAUCAUUCGAUCCAAUAGCCGGUAAUUUUAAAUCCAAAUAUCAGCUAACAUGUAAAAUAUCCAGAUAUUUCAAAA